GCGACUACGCUCUAACGCGCGCGCGUGUUCGCCUUUUCGCUUUUGUUAUUACCAGUCAAAUCCAUCUUUCCGAACGCUCAGCGACUUCUUCAUCACUUUCUCUUCCCCCUUCGUCCAUUUCACGCGCUUCCUCUUCCUUCCUCCGUCGAUUCGCCGCCAUUUCGCUCCAGCUCCUCGAGAUCUCUGAUUACAGAAUGCGUAUUUCGAAUUUCGUUUACUGUUAUUUGAAGUUCAAAUAAUAACUCUCGUUUUAGUUGCUACUUGAGCUGGAUUUGGAGGUAUUGUCAUCUGGAAAUCAUUAGGAAUAAGUUUAGAACUGUGGGUUUGUUAGUACAAGGUAAUCUUAUCUCUUCUAUGGUGUGUGGAUACAUUGAAAGCAAAAUAUGGGACUUUUUGAUGACUUGCCUUUGCCUGAAGACAAAGCUUAUUUGAGACGUGAACUCGCUAAAAUAGAUGAGAGUUGGACUGUUGCUCGUUUUGAUUCACUACCUCAUGUUGUUCACAUUUCGACGUCAAAAGAUCGUGAUGCUGCUGCACAAUUGUUGAAGGAGCAAAGUGAUGUUGUUGAGGAGGUUGUGGAUGAAGUAGUACAAACCUAUCAUAGUGGCUUCAACAAAGCUAUCCAAAACUAUUCCCAGAUCUUGAAGCUUUUCAGUGAUUCCACUGAGAGUAUCUCUUAAAGGUAGAUUUGGCAGAGGCAAAGAAGCACCUUAGUGCGCGCAAUAAACAAUUGCAUCAAUUAUGGUAUCGCUCAGUUACAUUGCGACACAUAAUCUCCUUAUUGGAUCAAAUUGAAGGCAUUGCUAAGGUUCCAGCACGUAUGCUCAUUGCUGAGAAGCAAUUUUAUGCUGCAGUUCAAUUGCAAGUGCAGUCUAUGCUGAUGCUUGAGAGAGAAGGUCUCCAAACUGUAGGAUUUCAACUCACUCACAUUUUAUCCUAUUUUCAUCUUAUUUUGAGUAGGAACCUGCUAUUUUUCAUUAAUAGUUCCCCACCAUGGUUCUGCACUUCACUUGGUAUUUUAGUUAAAAGGAGCAAGUGAUUUGUACAGAUAAAAGGGCAAACAUACUAAAAGCAGGUGAUACGAUAUCCAUCAUAUCAGAAAAUCUAUAAACAAACAAAGAACAGAUGUGGCUAAACAAAUACAACAAAGCUGUUGCAUCUGUCUGCUUGUUAGAUAUUAAUAUUGCCUCAAGAAGACUAAGAAUGUGAGAAAGUCCUGUGCGUCAUAGAGAGCUAUAAUUGUUAUUAUAUCCUCUAUUAUAUGGAAAGGCAAAGGAAGUUGAAGUUUACGGCCAAUAUUUUUCUAAGAGAUGAAGAUUCCUGCAAAAAAUCAGAACAAAAACCUUUAAUCAAAAAUUUCUUAAGUCCGUAUGUUGGUUCCAGCUCAAAUAAUUGACCACAGAAAAGUUUCAAAUAUUUCCAA
Molecule: long non-coding RNA, 1423 nt
Organism: Arachis stenosperma
Lineage: Eukaryota; Viridiplantae; Streptophyta; Magnoliopsida; Fabales; Fabaceae
Exons: 8
Source: RefSeq, a predicted model, not a curated record